This 497-nucleotide ribosomal RNA is filed under the name uncultured bacterium. RNAcentral describes it as "partial 16S ribosomal RNA". It matches the Rfam family "Bacterial small subunit ribosomal RNA", at positions 28 to 507 of the family's 1533-position model. The record is from RNAcentral.
GAUGAACGCUGGCGGCGCGCCUAAUACAUGCAAGUCGAGCGAACGGACGAGAAGCUUGCUUCUCUGAUGUUAGCGGCGGACGGGUGAGUAACACGUGGAUAACCUACCUAUAAGACUGGGGUAACUUCGGGAAACCGGAGCUAAUACCGGAUAAUAUUUUGAACCGCAUGGUUCAAAAGUGAAAGACGGUCUUGCUGUCACUUAUAGAUGGAUCCGCGCUGCAUUAGCUAGUUGGUAAGGUAACGGCUUACCAAGGCAACGAUGCAUAGCCGACCUGAGAGGGUGAUCGGCCACACUGGAACUGAGACACGGUCCAGACUCCUACGGGAGGCAGCAGUAGGGAAUCUUCCGCAAUGGGCGAAAGCCUGACGGAGCAACGCCGCGUGAGUGAUGAAGGUCUUCGGAUCGUAAAACUCUGUUAUUAGGGAAGAACAUAUGUGUAAGUAACUGUGCACAUCUUGACGGUACCUAAUCAGAAAGCCACGGCUAACUACGUG